Pantherophis guttatus is the source of this 882-nucleotide non-coding RNA. NCBI's taxonomy places the organism in Eukaryota, Metazoa, Chordata, Lepidosauria, Squamata, Colubridae. The record is from RefSeq and is a predicted model, not a curated record.
CUGCUGACAGCCCAUCAACAAAUCAAUUGCACUGAAAGUCUCCACAACUGGCUGUGAUAUAUGAGGCAUAGGAAACACCAGGAGAUGGCUAUUGGUCCAGUGGUGGGUUGCCCCGGGUUCAGACCGGUUCUAUAGAACCCGUAGUAAAACUGACCCAGAUGUCAUCAGGAAGCUUCUGCGCAUAUGCAGAAUCGCACACACGCGCGGCCCCAUUACGAACCAGUAGUAAAGGAAUGAAUUCAGACAUUUCGCACUUCCUCUCCUGAGAAUCCCAGCAAGAUUCAUCCCUUUCUUCUCUAAUUUCAGUGGAUUCUGAGAACUUGAUUAUCUCUGGAUCUGGUCCCAGGAGCAACAAAUGGUUUACGUGGUAAAGUCUUUGGAGUUGUUCGAGACAAAAGAACAUUUUACUCUUUUAAUUGAAACCUGAUAACGAAUGUCUUUUAUAUGGUAUUGAACAAGUGCUCUGGUUGUCACUACAGUGCAAUGUACAACAUCAGCAGUUUGGACAUGAAUCUCCCUUGGAGGCUUUUAGUUCUUCUUUAUGCUUCCAGAUCUUUAUAUACUACAUGUGAAUGAUGUGAUCUUUAACAUCAAUGGCUUAAUGAAAUCCUGGCUCAGGAGGUUAUGGAGUUACGUCCACAUGAAAAACAGAAAGGCAUUCUUAUUGAUGUAUCCAUGGAGGACCCCUUUGCUACCACCGACUUGCUGAAAAGCAGAACAAAAACAUUUUGAAAUGUUAUUGAUCUUAGGUUUUCAUGAGGUUUCCAAUCGUUAUUUCUGUUUCCCAUUGCCUGGGCUUUUAAAUUUCACAGAGAACAGAAGGUCUAUGAUAGAAAUGACCAACUUGAAAUGCUGAAUAAAUUCACUCAUUUCCCUCCAUUA